UUAAGUGACUAAGCGUACAAGGUGGAUGCCUUGGCAAUCAGAGGCGAAGAAGGACGUGCUAAUCUGCGAAAAGCUUGGAUGAGUCGAUAAGAGGCGUUUAAUCCAAGAUAUCCGAAUGGGGAAACCCAGUAGAUGAAGAAUCUACUAUCAACAAGUGAAUUCAUAGCUUGUUGAGGCAAACCGGGAGAACUGAAACAUCUAAGUACCCCGAGGAAAAGAAAUCAACCGAGAUUUCGUCAGUAGCGGCGAGCGAAAGCGAAAGAGCCAGUAAGUGAUAGCAGUAUAGUGAGGAGAAUGUGUUGGGAAACACAAUCAAAGAGGGUGAUAAUCCCGUAUCUAAAAACCAUAUUGUGGUACUAAGCUAACGAGAAGUAGGGCGGGACACGUGAUAUCCUGUUUGAAGAAGGGGGGACCAUCCUCCAAGGCUAAAUACUCCUGAUUGACCGAUAGUGAACCAGUACUGUGAAGGAAAGGCGAAAAGAACCCCGGUGAGGGGAGUGAAAUAGAACCUGAAACCUUGUACGUACAAGCAGUGGGAGCCCCAUCACUUAAUCCGAUUGGAAGGUGAUGAAAAGCAACCGCACUUAAACAAUGGUAAGAGGAGCGAAGCGAGUCAAACCACCCAAAAGAAGCAGUGGGAUUAAGUGAUGGGGUGACUGCGUACCUUUUGUAUAAUGGGUCAGCGACUUAUAUUUUGUAGCGAGGUUAACCGAAUAGGGGAGCCGAAGGGAAACCGAGUCUUAACUGGGCGAAUAGUUGCAAGGUAUAGACCCGAAACCCGGUGAUCUAGCCAUGGGCAGGUUGAAGGUUGGGUAACACUAACUGGAGGACCGAACCGACUAAUGUUGAAAAAUUAGCGGAUGACUUGUGGCUGGGGGUGAAAGGCCAAUCAAACCGGGAGAUAGCUGGUUCUCCCCGAAAUCUAUUUAGGUAGAGCCUUGAGGUGACACCUUUGGGGGUAGAGCACUGUUUCGGCUAGGGGGCCAUCCCGGCUUACCAACCCGAUGCAAACUACGAAUACCAAAGAGUGAUACUCAGGAGACACACGGCGGGUGCUAACGUCCGUCGUGGAGAGGGAAACAACCCAGACCGCCAGCUAAGGUCCCCAAGUCUAUAUUAAGUGGGAAACGAAGUGGGAAGGCUUAGACAGCUAGGAUGUUGGCUUAGAAGCAGCCAUCAUUUAAAGAAAGCGUAAUAGCUCACUAGUCGAGUCGGCCUGCGCGGAAGAUGUAACGGGGCUGAAAUAUAGCACCGAAGCUGCGGCAUCAGAAUUUAUUCUGUUGGGUAGGGGAGCGUUGUGUAAGCGGAAGAAGGUUCAUCGAGAGGUGGGCUGGACGUAUCACAAGUGCGAAUGCUGACAUAAGUAACGAUAAAACGGGUGAAAAACCCGUUCGCCGGAAGACCAAGGGUUCCUGUCCAACGUUAAUCGGGGCAGGGUGAGUCGGCUCCUAAGGCGAGGCUGAAAAGCGUAGUCGAUGGGAAACAGGUUAAUAUUCCUGUACUUGGUAAAGCUGCGAUGUGGGGACGGAGUAGGUUAGGUUAUCGCACUGUUGGAUAUGUGCGUUUAAGUUGGUAGGUGGGAAGUUUAGGCAAAUCCGGACUUCCUUAACACAGAGAGAUGAUGACGAGGCUCUACGGAGCUGAAGUAACUGAUACCACACUUCCAGGAAAAGCCACUAAGCGAAAGGCUUUACUAAACCGUACUGAAAACCGACACAGGUGGUCAGGUAGAGAAUACUCAGGCGCUUGAGAGAACUCGGGUGAAGGAACUAGGCAAAAUAGCACCGUAACUUCGGGAGAAGGUGCGCCGGCGUAGAUUGUAAGGGCUAGCCCCUGAAGGUUGAACCGGUCGAAGAUACCAGCUGGCUGCAACUGUUUAUUAAAAACACAGCACUCUGCAAACACGAAAGUGGACGUAUAGGGUGUGAUGCCUGCCCGGUGCUGGAAGGUUAAUUGAUGGUGUCAUCGCAAGAGAAGCACCUGAUCGAAGCCCCAGUAAACGGCGGCCGUAACUAUAACGGUCCUAAGGUAGCGAAAUUCCUUGUCGGGUAAGUUCCGACCUGCACGAAUGGCAUAAUGAUGGCCAGGCUGUCUCCACCCGAGACUCAGUGAAAUUGAAAUCGCCGUGAAGAUGCGGUGUACCCGCGGCUAGACGGAAAGACCCCGUGAACCUUUACUAUAGCUUGACACUGAACAUUGAAUUUUGAUGUGUAGGAUAGGUGGGAGACUAUGAAGAUGAUACGCCAGUAUUGUUGGAGUCAUCCUUGAAAUACCACCCUUUAACGUUUGAUGUUCUAACGAAGAUGACGAAACGUGGUCUCGGACAGUGUCUGGUGGGUAGUUUGACUGGGGCGGUCUCCUCCCAAAGCGUAACGGAGGAGCACGAAGGUUUGCUAAUCACGGUCGGACAUCGUGAGGUUAGUGCAAUGGUAUAAGCAAGCUUAACUGCGAGACAGACAAGUCGAGCAGGUACGAAAGUAGGUCAUAGUGAUCCGGUGGUUCUGAAUGGAAGGGCCAUCGCUCAACGGAUAAAAGGUACUCCGGGGAUAACAGGCUGAUACCGCCCAAGAGUUCAUAUCGACGGCGGUGUUUGGCACCUCGAUGUCGGCUCAUCACAUCCUGGGGCUGAAGUAGGUCCCAAGGGUAUGGCUGUUCGCCAUUUAAAGUGGUACGCGAGCUGGGUUUAGAACGUCGUGAGACAGUUCGGUCCCUAUCUGCCGUGGGCGUAGGAGAAUUGGUUGGGGCUGCUCCUAGUACGAGAGGACCGGAGUGGACGCACCACUGGUGUUCCGGUUGUGUCGCCAGACGCAUUGCCGGGUAGCUAAGUGCGGAAGAGAUAAGUGCUGAAAGCAUCUAAGCACGAAACUUGCCAAGAGAUGAGUUCUCCCAAUCUAAGAGAUAGUAAGGGUUGUUUAAGACUAAGACGUAGAUAGGUCUGGUGUGUAAGUGUAGUGAUACAUUGAGCUAACAGAUACUAAUUGCCCGAGAGGCUUAACU
This 2997-nucleotide ribosomal RNA is filed under the name Haemophilus influenzae. RNAcentral's name for it is "23S ribosomal RNA". It matches the Rfam family "Bacterial large subunit ribosomal RNA". Lineage: Bacteria; Pseudomonadati; Pseudomonadota; Gammaproteobacteria; Pasteurellales; Pasteurellaceae. The record is from RNAcentral.